AUGUGGGAACUCAAAGGAGACUGCCAGUGAUAAACUGGAGGAAGGUGGGGAUGACGUCAAGUCAUCAUGGCCCUUACGACCAGGGCUACACACGUGCUACAAUGGCAUAUACAAAGAGAAGCGACCUCGCGAGAGCAAGCGGACCUCAUAAAGUAUGUCGUAGUCCGGAUUGGAGUCUGCAACUCGACUCCAUGAAGUCGGAAUCGCUAGUAAUCGUAGAUCAGAAUGCUACGGUGAAUACGUUCCCGGGCCUUGUACACACCGCCCGUCACACCAUGGGAGUGGGUUGCAAAAGAAGUAGGUAGCUUAACCUUCGGGAGGGCGCUUACCACUUUGUGAUUCAUGACUGGGGUGAAGUCGUAACAAGGUAACCGUAGGGGAACCUGCGGUUGGAUCACCUCCUUACCUUAAAGAA
Molecule: ribosomal RNA, 415 nt
Filed under: Klebsiella pneumoniae subsp. pneumoniae
Lineage: Bacteria; Pseudomonadati; Pseudomonadota; Gammaproteobacteria; Enterobacterales; Enterobacteriaceae
Description: bacterial SSU rRNA
Rfam family: Bacterial small subunit ribosomal RNA
Source: RNAcentral